Molecule: long non-coding RNA, 1069 nt
Filed under: Bos indicus x Bos taurus (hybrid cattle)
Lineage: Eukaryota; Metazoa; Chordata; Mammalia; Artiodactyla; Bovidae
Description: lncRNA (ENSBIXG00000014992.1)
Source: RNAcentral
GCGAGAGCAAUUUGCACACCCAACAGCAGCAUAGCCUGACCUCAAACUUCUUUUCUUUGUAGGAAGCCCUGUAGCAGUCCCGGAGUGAUGGGACUCCCUGCCUGGCCUGAGAUACCCAGUUAGCACCUGCGAAUCAGAAUUUCCUCUUCGCAGCAAUAAAGCAUCCAGCCUUUGCAUCUGUGACAGCCUCCCCUGUAAUUUAUGCAUUCUAUGGAAUCUUUCCUGGUGAUUCAAGAUAGGACUCUGUCACAUGUGCUGCCAGGACCCUUUGUCUCAGGACCAAGAGAAAGAGACAGGGAAGCUAUCACAACUUUGUAGAGUGGUUCCUCGACUCCAUUUAAAGACUAACUUCAGCUUUAAAAUGGGCAGUUCCUGAAUCCAAGCUCCUUUGAGGGAAAAAUGACAGAUCUCCUCAACAUUCACAAUUUGUAUGCCCUGGUGUGGCUUAGAAGUAAAAAGUCUACCUGCAGUGCAAGAGACCCAGGUUUAACCCCUGUGUUGGGAAAAUCCGCUGGAGAAGGGAAUGGCAACCCACUCCAGUAUUCUUGCCUGGAGAAUCCCAUGGACAGAGGAGCCUGGCAAGCUACAGCCCACGGGGUCACAAGGAGUCGGACAUGACUGAGUGAGUUUACUUCACUUCACAGAGAGAAAAAAGUAAGAGAAAGAUGUUUUUUUAAAAUAUUGUUGUAAAAGAUACAACUUAUAAGUUAUAAAUUCUAGAAUUUUAUGAAUGGUGAACUCAUAGAUGAAAAAGAGUGUUAGGCAUUUUGGCUGCAGGAAACAGUUACCUUAGUAAUGGAAGUUUCUAGAAAGGGCAUAUGAGAAAAUAGAGAAGAGAGUAUUCUCACAGGAAUCGAAGAACAUCCAUUACCCGAGAUCCCACAUAGUCCUGAGCACUAGUGUUAUAUCUGUUGUCUCUGUAGGAGCAAGAAUUUAUAGAUCUAUGCUCUGAUACCAUUAAUAAGGCUCUAUUAUUCUGUGUUUAUACUUCUCAUUGUGUCCUUUAUAAUUUCUCUUCCCACUAUUUGGAGAUCCAAAGUGAUGAAGACCAUAGAUUCUACAAUUAAAA